UAGGGGGCAAGCGUUGUCCGGAAUCAUUGGGCGUAAAGAGCGUGUAGGCGGCCCGAUAAGUCCGCUGUGAAAGUCCAGGGCUCAACCCUGGGAUGCCGGUGGAUACUGUCGGGCUCGAGUCCGGAAGAGGAGUGUGGAAUUCCUGGUGUAGCGGUGAAAUGCGCAGAUAUCGGGAGGAACACCAGUGGCGAAGGCGACUACCUGGCCUGUUUCUUGACGCUGAGGCGCGAAAGCUAGGGGAGCAAACGGG
This 250-nucleotide ribosomal RNA is filed under the name uncultured bacterium. RNAcentral describes it as "partial 16S ribosomal RNA". It matches the Rfam family "Bacterial small subunit ribosomal RNA", at positions 528 to 776 of the family's 1533-position model. The record is from RNAcentral.